This 21-nucleotide non-coding RNA is filed under the name Caenorhabditis elegans. Lineage: Eukaryota; Metazoa; Nematoda; Chromadorea; Rhabditida; Rhabditidae. The record is from RNAcentral.
UCGUGAGACUCCUGUCACAGC